GUCAGUAUUGAUGAGUUAGGAGUUUAUUACUGUACCAACAUAGACAGAACUGCACAAUUCAGCAACAGCACCAGACUUGAUCGGACCACACGGAUCCUUGACCCAACUCAACCUUCAGAGUGUCAGAAUCACACUGUAGUGGUGCAGCCUACAGAGCCGACAUUGUGGCAGACUGUUACUGUCAUAUUUGGUCUGAUCAGUGUUGUUGUUCUGGUAAUUGGGUUCAAAGCAUUCUUAGGCCUGUUUUUUGCUGGUCACAGUAUCAAACACCCACAACGACAAAGAAACUGACCUUCUGCAGCUUCAACUGAUAGAUCCUGAAUACGCUGACCUGAUGUCCCUUUUGGGAAGUGUCCCAGUGUCCUGACAAAAUGGCAAAAAAUAAUGUCCCAGUUUCAGCUAUAAGGGUCACUGGGUUUAAUUUACAUGGAACAGAAGCCCAACAUACAUUUUAGAAUAUAACUGCAAAUUUUAUUGGAUUUACUGAAUAAGAAAUGCUUGCUUAGUUAACUUAACACUCAACAGCUGUCUGUUUACGAACAGUGUAGCCAUUUCUGAGUAGCCAUUAUUUCAUGUUACUUAAUAGCAUACUUUGUAAAAGAUUGUAUAAAAGUGUUUGUAAUGCAUUUUCAACCAGUCGUGUUCAUUGUUAUGUUAUCGCAGCAAAAAUAAAUUCAGAGCUGCUUUUACAGGAAAUUACUUUGUAAUCUGGUCACCAUGACAGCUUUGUGUGUGUGAUGCCACUCUUUGAAAUUAUAAUAAAAGCACUUGAAUAUG
This is a long non-coding RNA of Cyprinus carpio (common carp), 777 nucleotides long. RefSeq lists it as uncharacterized. The transcript has 3 exons. NCBI's taxonomy places the organism in Eukaryota, Metazoa, Chordata, Actinopteri, Cypriniformes, Cyprinidae. The record is from RefSeq and is a predicted model, not a curated record.